RNAcentral lists this unclassified non-coding RNA (265 nucleotides) under Hevea brasiliensis (rubber tree). The record is from RNAcentral. Lineage: Eukaryota; Viridiplantae; Streptophyta; Magnoliopsida; Malpighiales; Euphorbiaceae.
AUGAAAAGGAACCGCACUAGGAAUUAAAUUCUGUUAAUUUCCCUGUUAUGGAUAAUCCAAUUCUGGACGGGAAUAAUGCUUUCUUUCGAAAUUCCGAGUUAAGGAUUUGUUAGAUGUCUCGUUCCCCGCUUANNNUGCCUACUUUUAUUCGCACAUAUCUUCUGGUAUCCGAUUCUUCUUCUUCUUUAUUUUCUCAUCACCUCGCCACUCCGAGAUGCCUAUAUAAAUCCAGGAUGCGAAUAACCAAGAGGCCUGUUUCCUUCAG